This 305-nucleotide unclassified non-coding RNA is filed under the name Hevea brasiliensis (rubber tree). The record is from RNAcentral. Lineage: Eukaryota; Viridiplantae; Streptophyta; Magnoliopsida; Malpighiales; Euphorbiaceae.
CCUAGAUUAAAAGCCGGAGAAGCUGCUUAAACAGAAGAACAAAGACGGACGUCAAGGUAUUCCGAAUUCCCUCGUAUAUUUGUUAUACAGCGCGAAACGGACACACGAGACAGACAUUUGCUCACUCCUCAGAUCUCCUCUUUCAACCCCUGUUUCUUCCGGAGCCAUUAGCCAAUUUUCUAGCGUCUGCAGCUAUAUACAAAGCUUUUCACACAGCCCAAAAUAGAUAGAGACACAGUGAUGGGUAACAGAAACAGGGCAGAAGCUGACACUGAUACUUGUUUAAGCGAAGCGUUGUUGUUUGC